GCAGCACGGGAGCAAUCCUGGUGGCGAGUGGCGAACGGGUGAGUAAUAUAUCGGAACGUGCCCAGUCGUGGGGGAUAACGUAGCGAAAGUUACGCUAAUACCGCAUACGAUCUACGGAUGAAAGCGGGGGAUCGCAAGACCUCGCGCGAUUGGAGCGGCCGAUAUCAGAUUAGCUUGUUGGUGGGGUAAAAGCCCACCAAGGCGACGAUCUGUAGCUGGUCUGAGAGGACGACCAGCCACACUGGGACUGAGACACGGCCCAGACUCCUACGGGAGGCAGCAGUGGGGAAUUUUGGACAAUGGGCGCAAGCCUGAUCCAGCAAUGCCGCGUGCAGGAUGAAGGCCUUCGGGUUGUAAACUGCUUUUGUACGGAACGAAACGGUCCUUUCUAAUACAAGGGGCUAAUGACGGUACCGUAAGAAUAAGCACCGGCUAACUACGUGCCAGCAGCCGCGGUAAUACGUAGGGUGCGAGCGUUAAUCGGAAUUACUGGGCGUAAAGCGUGCGCAGGCGGUUUUGUAAGACAGAUGUGAAAUCCCCGGGCUUAACCUGGGACCUGCAUUUGUGACUGCAAGGCUGGAGUACGGUAGAGGGGGAUGGAAUUCCGCGUGUAGCAGUGAAAUGCGUAGAUAUGCGGAGGAACACCGAUG
This 650-nucleotide ribosomal RNA is filed under the name uncultured bacterium. RNAcentral describes it as "bacterial SSU rRNA". It matches the Rfam family "Bacterial small subunit ribosomal RNA", at positions 69 to 714 of the family's 1533-position model. The record is from RNAcentral.